AAAAUGGCCUUGCUUAACUACAGUGAGAGUCCUUGAAAAAGUUGGACUAAAAGAUGGAGUGGACCACAAGUCGUAUCCACCAAAUACACCUUGGCUUUAGUCCAAGACUCAAAAGUUCUCUUCUGCCGUGUCUCUACAGUCUUGGACUUCUCAUUCUUCCUUGGCCUCGGGCUCAAGGAAAGGGUUUGGAUAUGCAGAAUGUACUCAAGCUCAAUGUCUAGGUGUACAGCUAUAGAACCUACUGUGCUAAGCGGCCUUGUGGAGUGAUCUUCUUACUAGUAAAAUUUGCACACCAAUAAUAAAACAAAGGUUGCAAAAUAAAGAGCUAUGGCAUCUGCAUAUACUGCUAGUUCAUGACAAACAUUUAUUGUCCAUCUCUUCAAAUUGAAAAGGUAAGCAGUAUCAAUUACCAAAAUUGAUCUAUCAUUUUUCAUAAUCCUUGUAAGAAGUCUAAUACCCAUCUUACCCAUUCUGUUAGAUAAAACAUACACAAAUGGUAAUGAAAGGAUAU
Molecule: long non-coding RNA, 511 nt
Filed under: Strongylocentrotus purpuratus (purple sea urchin)
Lineage: Eukaryota; Metazoa; Echinodermata; Echinoidea; Camarodonta; Strongylocentrotidae
Description: uncharacterized LOC115924977, transcript variant X2
Source: RNAcentral